GGAAUAGCCUGUCCAAGCGGUUAGGCUGCCAGAUAGGCAARUCCGUCUGGCRUCCAGGCUGAGCCGUGAUGGCGAGGGAAUCAAAGUACCGAAGUCCCUGAUCCUCCACUGCCAAGAAAAGCCUCUAGCGAGGUGAGAGGUGCCCGUACCGCAAACCGACACAGGUAGGCGAGGAGAGAAUCCUAAGGUGCGCGGGAGAACUCUCGUUAAGGAACUCGGCAAAAUGACCCCGUAACUUCGGGAGAAGGGGUGCUCUCUUGGGUGUUGAGCCCGAGAGAGCCGCAGUGAAAAGGCCCAAGCGACUGUUUAACAAAAACACAGGUCUCUGCGAAGCCGAAAGGCGAAGUAUAGGGGCUGACACCUGCCCGGUGCUGGAAGGUUAAGGGGAGCGCUUAGCUCAAAGCGAAGGUGCGAACCGAAGCCCCAGUAAACGGCGGCCGUAACUAUAACGGUCCUAAGGUAGCGAAAUUCCUUGUCGGGUAAGUUCCGACCCGCACGAAAGGUGUAACGACUUGGGCACUGUCUCAACGAGAGACCCGGUGAAAUUAUAGUACCUGUGAAGAUGCAGGUUACCCGCGACAGGACGGAAAGACCCCGUGGAGCUUUACUGCAGCCUGAUAUUGAAUUUUGGUACGUCAUGUACAGGAUAGGUGGGAGACAGAGAAGCCAGGACGCCAGUCUUGGCGGAGUCGCCCUUGGGAUACCACCCUUGUCGUACUGAAGUUCUAACCCGCACCCCUGAUCGGGGUGGGAGACCGUGUCAGGUGGGCAGUUUGACUGGGGCGGUCGCCUCCCAAAGAGUAACGGAGGCGCCCAAAGGUUCCCUCAGAAUGGUUGGAAAUCAUUCGAAGAGUGUAAAGGCAGAAGGGAGCUUGACUGCGAGACCUACAAGUCGAGCAGGGACGAAAGUCGGGCUUAGUGAUCCGGUGGUUCCGCAUGGAAGGGCCAUCGCUCAACGGAUAAAAGCUACCCCGGGGAUAACAGGCUUAUCUCCCCCAAGAGUCCACAUCGACGGGGAGGUUUGGCACCUCGAUGUCGGCUCAUCGCAUCCUGGGGCUGUAGUCGGUCCCAAGGGUUGGGCUGUUCGCCCAUUAAAGCGGUACGCGAGCUGGGUUCAGAACGUCGUGAGACAGUUCGGUCCCUAUCCGUCGCGGGCGCAGGAAAUUUGAGAGGAGCUGUCCUUAGUACGAGAGGACCGGGAUGGACGCACCGCUGGUGUACCAGUUGUCCUGCCAAGGGCACCGCUGGGUAGCUAUGUGCGGAAGGGAUAAGCGCUGAAAGCAUCUAAGCGUGAAGCCCCCCUCAAGAUGAGAUUUCCCAUUGCAUAAGCAAGUAAGAUCCCUCGAAGAUGACGAGGUAGAUAGGUCCGAGGUGGAAGCGUGGCGACACGUGCAGCUGACGGAUACUAAUCGAUCGAGGACUUAACCAAU
Molecule: ribosomal RNA, 1430 nt
Filed under: Anoxybacillus sp. UARK-01
Lineage: Bacteria; Bacillati; Bacillota; Bacilli; Caryophanales; Anoxybacillaceae
Description: bacterial LSU rRNA
Rfam family: Bacterial large subunit ribosomal RNA
Source: RNAcentral